CCCUUAGAUGUUCUGGGCCGCACGCGCGCUACACUGAUGCAUUCAACGAGCCUAUCCUUGACCGACAGGUCCGGGUAAUCUUUGAAUCUGCAUCGUGACGGGGAUAGAUUAUUGCAAUUAUUAAUCUUCAACGAGGAAUGCCUAGUAGGCGCAAGUCAUCAGCUUGCGUCGAUUACGUCCCUGCCCUUUGUACACACCGCCCGUCGCUCCUACCGAUUGAGUGGUCCGGUGAGGCUUUGGGAUCUGAGCGGGAAGAGCGUUUCGCUGUUUCUGCUCGGAAAACUCAGUCGAACCUUAUCAUUUAGAGGAAGGAGAAGUCGUAACA
RNAcentral lists this ribosomal RNA (325 nucleotides) under uncultured eukaryote. Its description in RNAcentral is "partial 18S ribosomal RNA". It matches the Rfam family "Eukaryotic small subunit ribosomal RNA", at positions 1470 to 1796 of the family's 1831-position model. The record is from RNAcentral.